RNAcentral lists this ribosomal RNA (440 nucleotides) under uncultured bacterium. RNAcentral describes it as "partial 16S ribosomal RNA". It matches the Rfam family "Bacterial small subunit ribosomal RNA", at positions 338 to 795 of the family's 1533-position model. The record is from RNAcentral.
CCUACAGGAGGCAGCAGUGGGGGAUAUUGCACAAUGGGGGGAACCCUGAUGCAGCGACGCCGCGUGGGUGAAGGAGCGUUUCGGCGCGUAAAGCCCUAUCGGCAGGGAAGAAGGAGGACGGUACCUGACUAAGAAGCCCCGGCUAACUACGUGCCAGCAGCCGCGGUAAUACGUAGGGGGCAAGCGUUAUCCGGAUUUACUGGGUGUAAAGGGGGCGCAGACGGCAGCGCAAGCCAGGGGUGAAAGCCCGGGGCCCAACCCCGGGACUGCUCUUGGAACUGCGCGGCUGGAGUGCAGGAGGGGCAGGCGGAAUUCCUGGUGUAGCGGUGAAAUGCGUAGAUAUUAGGAAGAACACCAGUGGCGAAGGCGGCUUUCUGGACUGAAACUGACGCUGAGGCUCGAAAGCGUGGGGAGCGAACAGGAUUAGAUACCUUGUAGUC